UACAGGUACUGCUAAAUUGAUAAAAGAUCUUUGGCGUAGCAGCGCCGCAACGAAUCCUCGGAUCUACUAAACAACCAGAUAAAAUCUGUUCCUUUGUUUUUAUCGUGCCAGGACGACAUGGCGAAGUGAAAUGUUCCCAUCCACUUAUCCAGUAACAGAUGAUCAAGCAAGGCAGCACAUGAUCCAAACAAGCUUUUUCAGACACAAUUUAGAUUUUGUUUAAUUCACAAAAAAUUUUGAGUU
This 243-nucleotide long non-coding RNA is filed under the name Sorghum bicolor (sorghum). RNAcentral describes it as "long non-coding RNA (SBIC_LNC004225)". Lineage: Eukaryota; Viridiplantae; Streptophyta; Magnoliopsida; Poales; Poaceae. The record is from RNAcentral.